Molecule: ribosomal RNA, 472 nt
Filed under: Priestia megaterium
Lineage: Bacteria; Bacillati; Bacillota; Bacilli; Caryophanales; Bacillaceae
Also listed under: 1 other name
Description: bacterial SSU rRNA
Rfam family: Bacterial small subunit ribosomal RNA
Source: RNAcentral
UUAUCCUGGCUCAGGAUGAACGCUGGCGGCGUGCUUAACACAUGCAAGUCGAACGAUGAUCCCAGCUUGCUGGGGGAUUAGUGGCGAACGGGUGAGUAACACGUGAGUAACCUGCCCUUAACUNUGGGAUAAGCCUGGGAAACUGGGUNUAAUACCGGAUAUGACUCCUCAUCGCAUGGUGGGGGGUGGAAAGCUUUAUUGUGGUUUUGGAUGGACUCGCGGCCUAUCAGCUUGUUGGUGAGGUAAUGGCUUACCAAGGCGACGACGGGUAGCCGGCCUGAGAGGGUGACCGGCCACACUGGGACUGAGACACGGCCCAGACUCCUACGGGAGGCAGCAGUGGGGAAUAUUGCACAAUGGGCGCAAGCCUGAUGCAGCGACGCCGCGUGAGGGAUGACGGCCUUCGGGUUGUAAACCUCUUUCAGUAGGGAAGAAGCGAAAGUGACGGUACCUGCAGAAGAAGCGCCGGCUA